Molecule: ribosomal RNA, 406 nt
Filed under: uncultured bacterium
Lineage: Bacteria
Description: partial 16S ribosomal RNA
Rfam family: Bacterial small subunit ribosomal RNA
Source: RNAcentral
AUUGAACGCUGGCGGCAGGCCUAACCCAUGCAAGUCGACCGAGUGGCGGACGGGUGAGUAAUGUCUGGGAAACUGCCUGAUGGAGGGGGAUAACUACUGGAAACGGUAGCUAAUACCGCAUACCAUCGGAUGUGCCCAGAUGGGAUUAUCUAGUAGGUGGGGUAAAGGCUCACCUAGUCUACGAUCCCUAGCUGGUCUGAGAGGAUGACGAGCCACACUGGCACUGGAACACGGUACCGACUCCUACGGGAGGCAGCAGUGGUGAAUAUUGCACAAUGGGCGCAAGCCUGAUGCAGCCAUGCCGCGUGUAUGAAGAAGGCCGUCGGGUUGUAAAGUACUUUCAGCGGGGAGGCGUUACCCGCAGAAGAAGCACCGGCUAACUCCGUGCCAGCAGCCGCGGUAAUUC